This 434-nucleotide ribosomal RNA is filed under the name uncultured bacterium. Its description in RNAcentral is "partial 16S ribosomal RNA". It matches the Rfam family "Bacterial small subunit ribosomal RNA", at positions 29 to 507 of the family's 1533-position model. The record is from RNAcentral.
GCGGACGCUGGCGGCAGGCUUAACACAUGCAAGUCGAGCGGGCACUUUCGGGUGUCAGCGGCGGACGGGUGAGUAACGCGUGGGAACGUGCCCUCUGGUUCGGAAUAACUCAGGGAAACUUGAGCUAAUACCGGAUACGCCCUUUUGGGGAAAGGCUUGCUGCCGGAGGAUCGGCCCGCGUCUGAUUAGCUAGUUGGUGAGGUAACGGCUCACCAAGGCGACGAUCAGUAGCUGGUCUGAGAGGAUGAUCAGCCACACUGGGACUGAGACACGGCCCAGACUCCUACGGGAGGCAGCAGUGGGGAAUAUUGGACAAUGGGCGCAAGCCUGAUCCAGCCAUGCCGCGUGAGUGAUGAAGGCCUUAGGGUUGUAAAGCUCUUUUAUCCGGGACGAUAAUGACGGUACCGGAGGAAUAAGCCCCGGCUAACUUCGUG